Molecule: ribosomal RNA, 843 nt
Filed under: Amniculicola aquatica
Lineage: Eukaryota; Fungi; Ascomycota; Dothideomycetes; Pleosporales; Amniculicolaceae
Description: partial large subunit ribosomal RNA
Rfam family: Eukaryotic large subunit ribosomal RNA
Source: RNAcentral
UUUGAAAUCUGGCUCCCUUGGGGGUCCGAGUUGUAAUUUGUAGAGGGUGCUUUGGUAUUAGCUGUGGUCUAAGACCCUUGGAACAGGGCGUCACAGAGGGUGAGAAUCCCGUAUGUGGCCAGCAGCUCUUGCCUUGUAAAGCCCCUUCGACGAGUCGAGUUGUUUGGGAAUGCAGCUCUAAAUGGGAGGUAAAUUUCUUCUAAAGCUAAAUACUGGCCAGAGACCGAUAGCGCACAAGUAGAGUGAUCGAAAGAUGAAAAGCACUUUGGAAAGAGAGUCAAAAAGCACGUGAAAUUGUUGAAAGGGAAGCGCUUGCAGCCAGACUUGCCCGUAGUUGUUCAUCUAGGCUCUUGCCUAGUGCACUCUUCUGCGGGCAGGCCAGCAUCAGUCCAGGCGGUCGGAUAAAGGCCUUGGGAAUGUGGCUCCUUUCGGGGAGUGUUAUAGCCCAGGGUGCCAUGCGGCCAGCCUGAACUGAGGUCCGCGCUUCUGCUAGGAUGCUGGCGUAAUGGCUGUAAGCGGCCCGUCUUGAAACACGGACCAAGGAGUCUAACAUCUAUGCGAGUGUUUGGGUGUCAAGCCCGAGCGCGCAAUGAAAGUGAACGGAGGUGGGAACCCCUCGGGGUGCACCAUCGACCGAUCCUGAUGUCUUCGGAUGGAUUUGAGUAAGAGCAUAGCUGUUGGGACCCGAAAGAUGGUGAACUAUGCCUGAAUAGGGUGAAGCCAGAGGAAACUCUGGUGGAGGCUCGCAGCGGUUCUGACGUGCAAAUCGAUCGUCAAAUUUGGGCAUAGGGGCGAAAGACUAAUCGAACUAUCUAGUAGCUGGUUCCUGCCGAAGUUUCCCUC